GACAGAGGAUGCAAGCGUUAUCCGGAAUGAUUGGGCGUAAAGCGUCUGUAGGUGGCUUUUUAAGUCCGCCGUCAAAUCCCAGGGCUCAACCCUGGACAGGCGGUGGAAACUACCAAGCUGGAGUACGGUAGGGGGCAGAGGGAAUUUUCCGGUGGAGGCGGUGAAAGUGCGUAGAGAUCGGAAAGAACACCAACGGCGAAAGCAGCUCUGCU
RNAcentral lists this ribosomal RNA (212 nucleotides) under uncultured bacterium. RNAcentral's name for it is "partial 16S ribosomal RNA". It matches the Rfam family "Bacterial small subunit ribosomal RNA", at positions 524 to 730 of the family's 1533-position model. The record is from RNAcentral.